This 1051-nucleotide ribosomal RNA is filed under the name Bacidia biatorina. RNAcentral's name for it is "partial large subunit ribosomal RNA". It matches the Rfam family "Eukaryotic large subunit ribosomal RNA", at positions 66 to 1159 of the family's 3401-position model. Lineage: Eukaryota; Fungi; Ascomycota; Lecanoromycetes; Lecanorales; Ramalinaceae. The record is from RNAcentral.
CAACAGGGAUUGCCUCAGUAACGGCGAGUGAAGCGGCAACAGCUCAAAUUUGAAAUCUGGCUCCUCCGGGGGUCCGAGUUGUAAUUUGUAGAGGAUGUUUCGGGUGCGGGGCCGGUCGAAGUCCCUUGGAACAGGGCGUCACAGAGGGUGAGAAUCCCGUACGUGGCCGGCGACCAAGCCCAUGUGAAACUCCUUCGACGAGUCGAGUUGUUUGGGAAUGCAGCUCAAAAUGGGUGGUAAAUUUCAUCUAAAGCUAAAUACCGGCCAGAGACCGAUAGCGCACAAGUAGAGUGAUCGAAAGAUGAAAAGCACUUUGGAAAGAGAGUUAAAAAGUACGUGAAAUUGUUGAAAGGGAAGCGCUUGCAACCAGACCUGCCCGUGGGUGCUCAGCGGGGGUUCUCCCCCGUGCACUCGCCCACGAUCAGGCCAGCAUCAGUUUCGGCGACCGGAUAAAGGCCCCAGGAAUGUGGCUCCUCUCGGGGAGUGUUAUAGCCUGGGGUGGCAUACGGCCAGCUGGGACUGAGGACCGCGCUUCGGCAAGGAUGCUGGCGUAAUGGUUGUAAGCGGCCCGUCUUGAAACACGGACCAAGGAGUCGACCUAUUAUGCGAGUGUUUGGGUGUCAAACCCAUGCGCGCAAUGAAAGUGAACGGAGGUCAGAGCCCUUUAGGGUGCAUGAUCGACCGAUCCUGAAGUUUACGGAUGGAUUUGAGUAUGAGCAUAUUGGGUCGGACCCGAAAGAUGGUGAACUAUGCCUGAAUAGGGUGAAGCCAGAGGAAACUCUGGUGGAGGCUCGCAGCGGUUCUGACGUGCAAAUCGAUCGUCAAAUUUGGGUAUAGGGGCGAAAGACUAAUCGAACCAUUAGGGGUGCUAGGUGGUUAAGAAGGGUUACCAGUACUCUCAGCCUUUCGAGGCGACAAUGCUAUGUGCGUGGACCUACCCAGGACAUGCAGCGGCCGCGAGAGCGCCCGUACACAGACCAAAUAGCGUUGGCCGGUGGUCCCCACCGGUUCUGAUAUGGCCGAGUCCUGCCUCUGCACGGAGGCGGGGUGA